GUGAAGUUUGCUUAUAUCCACAUAUCUUAAUCAAACACAAUUAUGUUAUGUUUUGAAUCUUAUACUUCUUUAAUUGGUGAUUUUGUAAUAUUUUGAGCCAAUCUGAUAUUGUAUGAUAAAACCAUUACAUUUUAGUGGGAUUGCCAAGGUCCAAUCCAUAGUCUCUUUUUGUCUCUAUGUGUAUGUCGUUGUAGAUACCUGCUCAUUAAUGCAUUUUGAAACGGAAUCCCUUGGAUAGUUUUCUGCUUCUGGAAGUGUGAUAAUGGUGGGUGCUUAGGUAUCUCUGCAUCUUUAGUUUUGAAUUUGCUCUUAUCUGAUGUUUUCGCUGUUUUAUCUAAUUAUAUUAUAUAUCAAUAGAGCUGCUUGCAAUUAAUAUACUAUAUACAAUUUUAACAUGCUUACUAUUCAGGUGCAAAGAAGAAACACCGAA
This 430-nucleotide unclassified non-coding RNA is filed under the name Hevea brasiliensis (rubber tree). The record is from RNAcentral. Lineage: Eukaryota; Viridiplantae; Streptophyta; Magnoliopsida; Malpighiales; Euphorbiaceae.